UUAGCCCUAAACCUCAGUAGUUAAAACAACAAAACUACUCGCCAGAAUACUACAAGCAACAGCUUGAAACUCAAAGGACUUGGCGGUGCUUCACACCCCCCUAGAGGAGCCUGUCCCAUAAUCGAUAAACCCCGAUCCACCCCACCCUCUCUUGCUUAGCCUAUAUACCGCCAUCUUCAGCAAACCCUGAUAAAGGUUACAAAGUGAGCGCAAAUGCCUGUCUUCGCAAAAACGUUAGGUCAAGGUGUAGCCCAUGAGACGGUAAAAGAUGGGCUACAUUUUCUACCUCAGAAAAUCCUACGAUAACUCUCAUGAAACCUGAGAGUCCGAGGAGGAUUUAGCAGUAAAUUAAGAAUAGAGUGCUUAAUUGAACUAGGCCAUAAAGCACGC
RNAcentral lists this ribosomal RNA (390 nucleotides) under Cercopithecus campbelli (Campbell's monkey). Its description in RNAcentral is "partial 12S ribosomal RNA". It matches the Rfam family "Bacterial small subunit ribosomal RNA", at positions 832 to 1384 of the family's 1533-position model. Lineage: Eukaryota; Metazoa; Chordata; Mammalia; Primates; Cercopithecidae. The record is from RNAcentral.